This 434-nucleotide ribosomal RNA is filed under the name uncultured Lachnospiraceae bacterium. RNAcentral's name for it is "partial 16S ribosomal RNA". It matches the Rfam family "Bacterial small subunit ribosomal RNA", at positions 341 to 792 of the family's 1533-position model. Lineage: Bacteria; Bacillati; Bacillota; Clostridia; Lachnospirales; Lachnospiraceae. The record is from RNAcentral.
ACGGAAGGCAGCAGUGGGGGAUAUUGCACAAUGGGGGAAACCCUGAUGCAGCAACGCCGCGUGAGUGAAGAAGUAUUUCGGUAUGUAAAGCUCUAUCAGCAGGGAAGAAAAUGACGGUACCUGACUAAGAAGCCCCGGCUAACUACGUGCCAGCAGCCGCGGUAAUACGUAGGGGGCAAGCGUUAUCCGGAUUUACUGGGUGUAAAGGGUGCGUAGACGGCAUAGUAAGUCAGAAGUGAAAUCCCGGGGCUUAACCCCGGUGCUGCUUUUGAAACUAUUAAGCUCGAGUGCUGGAGGGGCAAGCGGAAUUCCUGGUGUAGCGGUGAAAUGCGUAGAUAUCAGGAGUAACACCGGUGGCGAAGGCGGCUUGCUGGACAGUAACUGACGUUGAGGCACGAAAGCGUUGGGAGCAAACAGGAUUAGAUACCCUGGUA